GUGGGGAAUCUUCCGCAAUGGACGAAAGUCUGACGGAGCAACGCCGCGUGAGUGAAGAAGGUUUUCGGAUCGUAAAGCUCUUUCGUUAGGGACGAACGUGCUCUUUGUGAAUAAUGAGGAGUAAUGACGGUACCUAAAUAAGAAGCCACGGCUAACUACGUGCCAGCAGCCGCGGUAAUACGUAGGUGGCAAGCGUUGUCCGGAAUUAUUGGGCGUAAAGCGCGCGCAGGCGGGAUAUCAAGUCUGUCUUAAAAGUGCGAGGCUCAACCUCGUGAGGGGCAGAAACUGGGAUUCUUGAGUGUCGGAGAGGAAAGUGGAAUUCCAAGUGUAGCGGUGAAAUGCGUAGAGAUUUGGAAGAACACCAGUGGCGAAGGCGACUUUCUGGACGAUGUCUGACGCUGAGGCGCGAAAGCUAGGGGAGCGAACGGGAUUAGAUACCCCGGUAGUCC
Molecule: ribosomal RNA, 449 nt
Filed under: uncultured bacterium
Lineage: Bacteria
Description: partial 16S ribosomal RNA
Rfam family: Bacterial small subunit ribosomal RNA
Source: RNAcentral